RNAcentral lists this ribosomal RNA (417 nucleotides) under Pseudomonas aeruginosa. RNAcentral's name for it is "partial 23S ribosomal RNA". It matches the Rfam family "Bacterial large subunit ribosomal RNA", at positions 1073 to 1499 of the family's 2925-position model. The record is from RNAcentral. Lineage: Bacteria; Pseudomonadati; Pseudomonadota; Gammaproteobacteria; Pseudomonadales; Pseudomonadaceae.
AUGUGGGGUUGCACAGACAACUAGGAUGUUAGCUUAGAAGCAGCUAUUCAUUCAAAGAGUGCGUAAUAGCUCACUAGUCGAGUGACCCUGCGCCGAAAAUGUACCGGGGCUAAAACAAUUUACCGAAGCUGUGGAUACCUUUAUAGGUAUGGUAGGAGAGCGUUCUAUGUGUGAUGAAGGUAUACCGUGAGGAGUGCUGGAACGCAUAGAAGUGAGAAUGCCGGUAUGAGUAGCGAAAGACAGGUGAGAAUCCUGUCCACCGUAAGACUAAGGUUUCCAGGGGAAGGCUCGUCCGCCCUGGGUUAGUCGGGACCUAAGGAGAGACCGAAAGGUGUAUCCGAUGGACAACAGGUUGAUAUUCCUGUACUAGAGUAUGUAGUGAUGGAGGGACGCAGUAGGCUAACUAAAGCAGACGAU